This 735-nucleotide ribosomal RNA is filed under the name uncultured Acidobacteriota bacterium. Its description in RNAcentral is "bacterial SSU rRNA". It matches the Rfam family "Bacterial small subunit ribosomal RNA", at positions 60 to 827 of the family's 1533-position model. Lineage: Bacteria; Pseudomonadati; Acidobacteriota. The record is from RNAcentral.
AGUCGCACGAGAAAGUGGAGCAAUCCAUGAGUAAAGUGGCGCACGGGUGAGUAACACGUGAAUCAUCUACCUCCGAGUGGGGAAUAACCUAGAGAAAUCUGGGCUAAUACCGCAUAACACUUACGAGUCAAAGCAGCAAUGCGCUUGGAGAGGAGUUCGCGGCCGAUUAGUUAGUUGGCGGGGUAAUGGCCCACCAAGACGAUGAUCGGUAUCCGGCCUGAGAGGGCGCACGGACACACUGGAACUGAAACACGGUCCAGACUCCUACGGGAGGCAGCAGUGGGGAAUUUUGCGCAAUGGGGGAAACCCUGACGCAGCAACGCCGCGUGGAGGAUGACAUAUCUUGGUAUGUAAACUCCUUUCGAUAGGGAAGAUUAUGACGGUACCUAUAGAAGAAGCCCCGGCUAACUUCGUGCCAGCAGCCGCGGUAAUACGAGGGGGGCAAGCGUUGUUCGGAUUUAUUGGGCGUAAAGGGUGCGUAGGCGGUUUGAUAAGUCUGGUGUGAAAUCUUUGGGCUCAACCCAAAGUCUGCACUAGAAACUGUCGGGCUUGAGUAUGGGAGAGGUGAGUGGAAUUUCCGGUGUAGCGGUGAAAUGCGUAGAUAUCGGAAGGAACACCUGUGGCGAAAGCGGCUCACUGGACCAUUACUGACGCUGAUGCACGAAAGCUAGGGGAGCAAACAGGAUUAGAUACCCUGGUAGUCCUAGCCCUAAACGAUGAUUGCUUGAUGUGGCA